ACGAACGCUGGCGGCGUGCUUAACACAUGCAAGUCGAACGGAAAGGCCCUGCUUUUGUGGGGUGCUCGAGUGGCGAACGGGUGAGUAACACGUGAGUAACCUGCCCUUGACUUUGGGAUAACUUCAGGAGACUGGGGCUAAUACCGGAUAGGAGCUCCUGCUGCAUGGUGGGGGCUGGAAAGUUUCGGCGGUUGGGGAUGGACUCGCGGCUUAUCAGCUUGUUGGUGGGGUAGUGGCUUACCAAGGCUUUGACGGGUAGCCGGCCUGAGAGGGUGACCGGCCACAUUGGGACUGAGAUACGGCCCAGACUCCUACGGGAGGCAGCAGUGGGGAAUAUUGCACAAUGGGCGGAAGCCUGAUGCAGCAACGCCGCGUGCGGGAUGACGGCCUUCGGGUUGUAAACCGCUUUCGCCUGUGACGAAGCGUGAGUGACGGUAAUGGGUAAAGAAGCACCGGCUAACUACGUG
Molecule: ribosomal RNA, 467 nt
Filed under: uncultured bacterium
Lineage: Bacteria
Description: partial 16S ribosomal RNA
Rfam family: Bacterial small subunit ribosomal RNA
Source: RNAcentral